UGUGUGACAAUGUGUUCUCUUUCAUCUGCAAAACAACCACCCCCAUGUUAGCUGGAAAGUGAGUUUUUGUACUCUUCUGUAUGUCCUACCCAUUAUGUUGUGUUUCUUCCUGUGAGUUUCAGCAAAUCCAUCAUGUCCUCUUGGGUUAUCAUUGUGAAAUGAUUCAACCUGUUAUUGUAGGAAAAUGAUCAUUGAAUCCUUUGCUUCGGUGGCCAUGUUUCUCUUCAUCUGCCAUCUGCUUGAAGGUUUUAAGAUGAAAUUAAGCUAUAUGGUGUUUCAUCACAAAAGUUUGAAGUGAUGAUACGCAUCCAUCCUAACUAUCAAUAAAUAGUGUAAUCUCAUUCAAUAACAAUGUCGACAACAGUACAUCAUGGGAUUUUUAUUUACAUGAAGAAUUUCAAACAGAGCACCAGUUUCUCACUUUAUUGUACUUACUACUAAUGUUCAUUAUGGAUGCAAAGUGACACUCCAAUUUUGAAUUAGGAACCAGAUAAAUCAUGAAAAAAUUUAAUGAAUAUUAAUUAUGGUUAGAUGUCUUCUGUAGUCUCCUCAGUUCCUUUUAUGUAUAAAAAACAUACAUCAGAAUAAACAUGAAUAUAAAUUUCUCCCAUGAUGGAUUCCAUUCAGCUACAUUGGUAAGAAUAUUGAGUAUUUUCCACUAAGAGAAUUGUCAUAUAUCUGGAAAUAGUUUGGAUUCUAUUAUAUGAAUCUAUUGUGAUGUCUCUUCCAAGAAUGCAUGUAAUAUGGAGCUACUGACAGAACACUAUUCACCUGCCUUGCGUCCUGCAGCUAAGACAGUCUUAAGGAAUAAACCCUGAUGGACUGAUAGUCACAUCAUGUUGUAGUGUGGCCAUGCAGAAAACUUAGGUGCUAUAACCUAAGCAGUCAGGCAUUAGAAUGUUAGGAAUUGAUGCAGCAAUAGAUCAAACUCAUCUUGUGUAAAUCCCAAGAAAACGAGGAAUCACUAUCCAGAUAUCAUCAAGAUAUUUUGGUGAGAUAAAAUAAGUUGCUGAUUCAAUAUUGAUUAACAAUUUAAUUUCCUUUUUUACCUUAUUUAGGAUCCACACAUUACAACAGAAUCAUGAAAAUGGCAAUAAUAUGAACUAACAAAGUUAUUUCAUCUUUUUCUUCUCUAGUUGCUGAACAAAGUCUAAAGAUAAAACUGACUGUAAAAUAUGCUUCAAGUCCCAUCUUUCUUUUAAAGGGAUUGACAGCACAAUAUCAACAAUGGAAAUUUAAGAAUAAACUAAACUUGGGAUCAUCAUAGAUCAUGUUCUUGGCUGCAUGCCAUUGAUUUGACAAAUGGAGCCCAUCCAUGUGUUGUGGUAAUGCCUCCAAAUGAUCAAACCCAUUGGUGUAAAUUACCAUGGACAAUGUAUUGACACUCUCAUGACCCUUCAUACAUUAGUCCAUCUCCAGUCUACUCACUCCACCAAUCAUGAAGUGUGCUCCAUACCUUCAUGCAUUGAUGAAUAUGAUGAGGCUAAACUAAACGACAUAUAUUAUCGACUGGUGAAGACAGAACUCCAAGAUUUAGAUAUAAACAAUCAUAAUACUCGCCAACUAGUUAAUCGGGUAAGUGGAAGAAUGAUAUAAUGGACUGCAUUACGCGUGAUCAGCAAUCCUAUCGUCUAAAUCUAAUUCAGAGUCAACCAUCUCCAACCAAUUUGCUACUUGUCUUUUUCCUCGUGAUCAUACCGUAAAUCCAUGGGAAUGAAUUGGAGAGAAGAAAACGAUCGCUGUUCUAUAUCACAGUAGAUCCGCUGCUCCAUGUCGCACUUACUGAGUCACGAGUAAAGUCAUGAACUAAGGGUGCACAUCCAGGGACACCAGGAUAGGUCUGGGGGCAGUGCGCUCACGAGUAAAGUCAUGAACUAAGGGUGCACAUCCAGGGACACCAGGAUAGGUCUGGGGGCAGUGCGCUUCCACAUCCUCCAGACAUGACGCAUGUUCAAAAAAGGUCUGUCAUUCAAUGAUCCUAAAGACCAUAGUAGUGUUAUGUAACUAAAUGUGUCGGCUAUGAGCUAUUUCAACAUAACUUGGAUGAACCUAGUCACAUAUAUGUCAGAUAGGAAAUAAAUAAAUUUUAAUGCUUCAUCUAUCACUGUAAAAUUUAAAAAUACAUAUAAAUUUUACAUCUGUGCAGCCAUAUAAUAAUAAAUCAAAUGGAAAUGCACAGAGAAACUACAUACACAAAAUCAUAUUAUCAAAUAACCAACCAACAAAAGACAUUGUUUAGCACCAAGAGAAUAAGAAUUAAACAAUUCACCUAUAUCUAUUAUCUCUACAAAUAAAUUCAUAAAUGG
Molecule: long non-coding RNA, 2306 nt
Filed under: Musa acuminata (dwarf banana)
Lineage: Eukaryota; Viridiplantae; Streptophyta; Magnoliopsida; Zingiberales; Musaceae
Description: long non-coding RNA (MACU_LNC002843)
Source: RNAcentral